RNAcentral lists this ribosomal RNA (253 nucleotides) under uncultured bacterium. Its description in RNAcentral is "partial 16S ribosomal RNA". It matches the Rfam family "Bacterial small subunit ribosomal RNA", at positions 524 to 776 of the family's 1533-position model. The record is from RNAcentral.
UACGUAGGUCGCAAGCGUUGUCCGGAUUUACUGGGCGUAAAGAGCGCGCAGGCGGCUGGUCAAGUCCGAUGUGAAAUCUCCCGGCUCAACUGGGAAACUGCAUCGGAAACUGAUCGGCUUGAAGAUGGGAGAGGGUAGUGGAAUUCCCGGUGUAGUGGUGAAAUGCGUAGAUAUCGGGAGGAACACCAGUGGCGAAAGCGGCACACUGGGUCUUAACUGACGCUGAGGCACGAAAGCCAGGGGAGCGAACGGG